GGAGUGGUGGUUCAGUGGUACAAUUCCUGCCCUCCAUGCGGGAGACCUGGGUUCGAUUCCUGGUCAUUGCA
This 71-nucleotide transfer RNA is filed under the name Loxodonta africana (African savanna elephant). It matches the Rfam family "tRNA". From Rfam's summary of the family: Transfer RNA (tRNA) molecules are approximately 80 nucleotides in length. Lineage: Eukaryota; Metazoa; Chordata; Mammalia; Proboscidea; Elephantidae. The record is from Rfam by way of RNAcentral.